Molecule: non-coding RNA, 222 nt
Organism: Oncorhynchus mykiss (rainbow trout)
Lineage: Eukaryota; Metazoa; Chordata; Actinopteri; Salmoniformes; Salmonidae
Source: RefSeq, a predicted model, not a curated record
GGAUAUGUAGGUUCAGUAAGGGGGUAUGGAACAGGUAGGGGCAGUAGAGGGGUAGAAGGGAGUAUGUGGGGCAUUAGGGAGGUGGGGCAGUAAGGGAUUAGGAAGGGGUAGUAGUGGAUAUGUAGGUGCAGUAAGGGGGUAUGUAUGGGGAGUAAGGGGGAUAGAUAGUUGCGGUAGGGGGUAGGUAGGGGCAGUAUGGGACAGGUAGGGGCAGUAUGGGAC